This 459-nucleotide ribosomal RNA is filed under the name uncultured bacterium. RNAcentral describes it as "bacterial SSU rRNA". It matches the Rfam family "Bacterial small subunit ribosomal RNA", at positions 923 to 1380 of the family's 1533-position model. The record is from RNAcentral.
GCACCAAAGCGUGAGCAUGUGGUUUAAUUCGAAGAUACGCGAAAAACCUUACCAGGUCUUGACAUACCAAUGAUCGCUUUUGUAAUGAAAGCUUUUCUUCGGAACAUUGGAUACAGGUGGUGCAUGGUCGUCGUCAGCUCGUGUCGUGAGAUGUUGGGUUAAGUCCCGCAACGAGCGCAACCCUUGUUAUUAGUUGCCAGCAUUUAGUUGGGCACUCUAAUGAGACUGCCGGUGAUAAACCGGAGGAAGGUGGGGACGACGUCAGAUCAUCAUGCCCCUUAUGACCUGGGCAACACACGUGCUACAAUGGGAAGUACAACGAGUCGCAAACCGGCGACGGCAAGCUAAUCUCUUAAAACUUCUCUCAGUUCGGACUGGAGUCUGCAACUCGACUCCACGAAGGCGGAAUCGCUAGUAAUCGCGAAUCAGCAUGUCGCGGUGAAUACUUUCCCGGGACAA